Molecule: ribosomal RNA, 492 nt
Filed under: uncultured bacterium
Lineage: Bacteria
Description: partial 16S ribosomal RNA
Rfam family: Bacterial small subunit ribosomal RNA
Source: RNAcentral
AGUGAACGCUGGCGGUAGGCCUAACACAUGCAAGUCGAACGGCAGCACGGUAAGAGCUUGCUCUUACGGGUGGCGAGUGGCGGACGGGUGAGGAAUACAUCGGAAUCUACUUUUUCGUGGGGGAUAACGUAGGGAAACUUACGCUAAUACCGCAUACGACCUACGGGUGAAAGCAGGGGAUCUUCGGACCUUGCGCGAUUGAAUGAGCCGAUGUCGGAUUAGCUAGUUGGCGGGGUAAAGGCCCACCAAGGCGGCGAUCCGUAGCUGGUCUGAGAGGAUGAUCAGCCACACUGGAACUGAGACACGGUCCAGACUCCUACGGGAGGCAGCAGUGGGGAAUAUUGGACAAUGGGCGCAAGCCUGAUCCAGCCAUACCGCGUGGGUGAAGAAGGCCUUCGGGUUGUAAAGCCCUUUUGUUGGGAAAGAAAAGCAGCAGGUUAAUACCCCGCUGUUCUGACGGUACCCAAAGAAUAAGCACCGGCUAACUUCGUG